AUACGGAGGGUGCAAGCGUUAUCCGGAUUUACUGGGUUUAAAGGGUGCGUAGGCGGGAUAAUAAGUCAGUGGUGAAAGCCUGCAGCUUAACUGUAGAAUUGCCAUUGAUACUGUUAUUCUUGAGUAUAGUUGAGGUGGGCGGAAUGUGGCAUGUAGCGGUGAAAUGCUUAGAUAUGCCACAGAACACCGAUUGCGAAGGCAGCUCACUAAACUAUUACUGACGCUGAGGCACGAAAGCGUGGGGAGCGAACAGAAUUAGAAACCCCGGUAGUCC
RNAcentral lists this ribosomal RNA (274 nucleotides) under uncultured bacterium. RNAcentral's name for it is "partial 16S ribosomal RNA". It matches the Rfam family "Bacterial small subunit ribosomal RNA", at positions 523 to 796 of the family's 1533-position model. The record is from RNAcentral.